GAAUGUGAUGGCAAUCUGUCUGCAACAUCUAUCAUUCCACUGAUCACCAGGUUGAUCUGGCUGAUCUAGCUGGCUAGGGAGGUGUACCCUUUUCUCUCAUUGUUCCAUAUGUGUCCCUCUUAAGGUUCCAUGAUGGGUCAGAGAAUGAUGUUCCAUGAUAGAGGAGCACUGUUCUUCUGUUGAGGAUAUAUGACUAACUGCACUUCCCUGCUAGAACUUCCAAACAAGCUCUCAGUUAAGGGUCUUCAUAAGAACAUGAGCUUCAGAUGUACCAUCACUGCAAAAUAAGCCAACAAAACAGUUUCUGAAAACAAUUUGCUUU
This is an unclassified non-coding RNA of Cavia porcellus (domestic guinea pig), 322 nucleotides long. Its record names the gene 7SK. It matches the Rfam family "7SK RNA". From Rfam's summary of the family: 7SK was discovered as an abundant small nuclear RNA in the mid-70s but a possible function has only recently been suggested. NCBI's taxonomy places the organism in Eukaryota, Metazoa, Chordata, Mammalia, Rodentia, Caviidae. The record is from Ensembl.